UCCAUAUUGGUCUAGUGGCUAGGAUUUGUCGCUCUCAGCGAAGCAGCACCGACAAGGCCUGGGUUCAAUUCCCAGAUAUGUGA
This 83-nucleotide transfer RNA is filed under the name Cercospora zeae-maydis SCOH1-5. Its description in RNAcentral is "tRNA-Glu". It matches the Rfam family "tRNA". Rfam says of the family: Transfer RNA (tRNA) molecules are approximately 80 nucleotides in length. Their secondary structure includes four short double-helical elements and three loops (D, anti-codon, and T loops). Lineage: Eukaryota; Fungi; Ascomycota; Dothideomycetes; Mycosphaerellales; Mycosphaerellaceae. The record is from RNAcentral.